RNAcentral lists this ribosomal RNA (433 nucleotides) under uncultured bacterium. Its description in RNAcentral is "partial 16S ribosomal RNA". It matches the Rfam family "Bacterial small subunit ribosomal RNA", at positions 29 to 507 of the family's 1533-position model. The record is from RNAcentral.
AACGAACGCUGGCGGCAUGCCUAACACAUGCAAGUCGAACGAGACCUUCGGGUCUAGUGGCGCAAGGGUGCGUAACGCGUGGGAACCUUCCCUUAGGUUCGGAAUAACUCCCCGAAAGGGGUGCUAAUACCGGAUAAUUUCUUCGGACCAAAGAUUUAUCGCCUUUGGUUGGGCCCGCGUUGGAUUAGCUAGUUGGUAGGGUAAAAGCCUACCAAGGCGACGAUCCAUAGCUGGUCUGAGAGGAUGAUCAGCCACACUGGGACUGAGACACGGCCCAGACUCCUACGGGAGGCAGCAGUGGGGAAUAUUGGACAAUGGGCGAAAGCCUGAUCCAGCAAUGCCGCGUGAGUGAUGAAGGUCUGAGGGUUGUAAAGCUCUUUUACCCGGGAUGAUAAUGACAGUACCGGGAGAAUAAGCUACGGCUAACUACGUG